Molecule: ribosomal RNA, 431 nt
Filed under: uncultured bacterium
Lineage: Bacteria
Description: bacterial SSU rRNA
Rfam family: Bacterial small subunit ribosomal RNA
Source: RNAcentral
AACGAACGCUGCCGGCAGCCCUCACACAUGCAAGUCGAGCGCGCUUUCGGGUGAGCGGCGGACGGGUUAGUAACGCGUGGGAACGUGCCCUGAUCUACGGAAUAGCCACUGGAAACGGUGAGUAAUACCGUAUACGCCCGUAGGGGGAAAGAUUUAUCGGCUUUGGAUCGGCCCGCGUUAGAUUAGGUAGUUGGUGGGGUAACGGCCUACCAAGCCUACGAUCUAUAGCUGGUUUUAGAGGAUGAUCAGCAACACUGGGACUGAGACACGGCCCAGACUCCUACGGGAGGCAGCAGUGGGGAAUCUUGGACAAUGGGGGCAACCCUGAUCCAGCCAUGCCGCGUGAGUGAAGAAGGCCCUAGGGUCGUAAAACUCUUUCGCCUGUGAUGAUAAUGACAGUAGCAGGUAAAGAAACCCCGGCUAACUCCGUG